GACGAACGCUGGCGGCGUGCUUAACACAUGCAAGUCGAACGGAAAGGCCCUGCUUUUGUGGGGUGCUCGAGUGGCGAACGGGUGAGUAACACGUGAGUAACCUGCCCUUGACUUUGGGAUAACUUCAGGAAACUGGGGCUAAUACCGGAUAGGAGCUCCUGCUGCAUGGUGGGGGUUGGAAAGUUUCGGCGGUUGGGGAUGGACUCGCGGCUUAUCAGCUUGUUGGUGGGGUAGUGGCUUACCAAGGCUUCGACGGGUAGCCGGCCUGAGAGGGUGACCGGCCACAUUGGGACUGAGAUACGGCCCAGACUCCUACGGGAGGCAGCAGUGGCGAAUAUUGCACAAUGGGCGGAAGCCUGAUGCAGCAACGCCGCGUGCGGGAUGACGGCCUUCGGGUUGUAAACCGCUUUCGCCUGUGACGAAGCGUGAGUGACGGUAAUGGGUAAAGAAGCACCGGCUAACUACGUG
RNAcentral lists this ribosomal RNA (468 nucleotides) under uncultured bacterium. Its description in RNAcentral is "partial 16S ribosomal RNA". It matches the Rfam family "Bacterial small subunit ribosomal RNA", at positions 28 to 507 of the family's 1533-position model. The record is from RNAcentral.